Molecule: ribosomal RNA, 2084 nt
Filed under: human gut metagenome
Description: bacterial LSU rRNA
Rfam family: Bacterial large subunit ribosomal RNA
Source: RNAcentral
AUUCCAAUCGAACCCGGAGAUAGCUGGUUCUCCCCGAAAUAGCUUUAGGGCUAGCGUCGAGAGAAGAGUUGCGUGAAGGUAGAGCACUGAAUAUGUGAUGGCCCCAUCUCGGGGUACUGAGCAUAAUCAAACUGCGAAUGUCACGCCAACAUGCUCGGCAGUCAGACAGCGGGUGAUAAGGUCCGUUGUCAAGAGGGAAACAGCCCAGACCAUCAGCUAAGGUCCCAAAAUGUAUGCUAAGUGGAAAAGGAUGUGGAGAUGUACAGACAACUAGGAGGUUGGCUCAGAAGCAGCCAUCCUUUAAAGAGUGCGUAACAGCUCACUAGUCGAAUGACUCUGCGCCGAUAAUUUACCGGGGCUAAGCAUACUACCGAAGCUAUGGAUCCCAAGGGAUGGUAGGGGAGCGUUCCAUGAACGGAGAAGUACGACCGAAAGGACGUGUGGAGAUCAUGGAAGAGAGAAUGCCGGUGUGAGUAGCGGAACGUGGGUGAGAAUCCCACGCACCGAAAACCCAAGGUUUCCAGAGGAAGGUUCGUCCGCUCUGGGUAAGUCGGGACCUAAGGCGAGGCCGAAAGGCGUAGUCGAUGGACAACAGGUAGAGAUUCCUGUACCCGUAUAUAUGUGAAGGAAUGACGGAGAGAGGAAGCUGCAGCCAGCGGCUGGAAGAGCUGGUGCAAGCGAGAUAUCGGGAUGGCAGGCAAAUCCACCAUCCGAAACGAGAAGGCGUGAAGCGUACGGAAAGCUACGGCGAGUACGGAAGGCAGUGGAGGAACUUCCAAGAAAAGUUUCUAACGUUAAGUAUAUAUGGCCCGUACCGAAAAUGGACACACAUGGGUGAGGAGAGAAUCCUAAGGUGAGCGAGAGAACUAUAGCUAAGGAACUCUGCAAAAUGACUCCGUAACUUAGGGAGAAGGAGUGCUCAUAGAGAUAUGAGCCGCAGUGAAACGGCCCAAGCGACUGUUUACCAAAAACACAGCUCUCUGCUAAGCCGCAAGGCGAAGUAUAGGGGGUGACGCCUGCCCGGUGCUGGAAGGUUAAGGGGAGGGGUUAACGCAAGUGAAGCCCUGAACUGAAGCCCCAGUAAACGGCGGCCGUAACUAUAACGGUCCUAAGGUAGCGAAAUUCCUUGUCAGGUAAGUUCUGACCCGCACGAAAGGCGUAACGAUUUGGGCGCUGUCUCAGCUGUAGACUCGGUGAAGUCUUAGUACCUGUGAAGAUGCAGGUUACCCGCGACUAGACGGAAAGACCCCAUGGAGCUUCACUGCAGGUUGAUAUUGGGAUUUGAUGCAGCAUGUACAGGAUAGGUAGGAGGCAAAGAGAUGGAUACGCCAGUAUUCAAGGAGCCGCUGUUGGGAUACUACCCCUGUUGUAUUGGAUUUCUAACCGGACGACGUAGAGCCGUUGACGGGACAGUGUCAGUCGGGCAGUUUGACUGGGGCGGUCGCCUCCCAAAGAGUAACGGAGGCGCCCAAAGAUACCCUCAGCUUGGAUGGAAACCAAGCGCAGAGUGCAAAGGCAAAAGGGUGUUUGACUGCGAGACCUACAAGUCGAGCAGGGACGAAAGUCGGGCUUAGUGAUCCGGCGGUGCUGAAUGGAAAGGCCGUCGCUCAACGGAUAAAAGCUACCCUGGGGAUAACAGGCUGAUCUCCCCCAAGAGUUCACAUCGACGGGGAGGUUUGGCACCUCGAUGUCGGCUCAUCGCAUCCUGGAGCUGAAGUCGGUUCCAAGGGUUGGGCUGUUCGCCCAUUAAAGCGGUACGCGAGCUGGGUUCAGAACGUCGUGAGACAGUUCGGUCCCUAUCUGUCGUGGGCGCAGGAAAUUUGAGAAGAGCUGUCCUCAGUACGAGAGGACCGGGAUGGACGCAUCAAUGGUGGACCAGUUGUCACGCCAGUGGCAUAGCUGGGUAGCUAAAUGCGGAAGGGAUAAACGCUGAAGGCAUCUAAGUGUGAAACCCACUUCAAGAUGAGAUUUCCCAUUGCGCAAGCAAGUAAGACCCCUUAAAGACGAUAAGGUAGAUAGGUCAGGAGUGUAAGCAUGGUGACAUGUUAAGCGGACUGAUACUAAUAGGUCGAGGGCUUGACCGA